RNAcentral lists this ribosomal RNA (348 nucleotides) under uncultured Clostridiaceae bacterium. Its description in RNAcentral is "partial 16S ribosomal RNA". The record is from RNAcentral. Lineage: Bacteria; Bacillati; Bacillota; Clostridia; Eubacteriales; Clostridiaceae.
GGAGUUUGGACCGUGUCUCAGUUCCAAUGUGGCCGAUCACCCUCUCAGGUCGGCUACUGAUCGUCGCCUUGGUGAGCCGUUACCUCACCAACCAGCUAAUCAGACGCAGGUCCAUCCUGUACCGAUAAAUCUUUGACCGGUUCCCCAUGCGGGGUCCCGGUGUCAUAAGGUAUUAAUCACCGUUUCCAGUGGCUAUCCCUUUGUACAGGGCAGGUUACCUACGCGUUACUCACCCGUCCGCCGCUUUCCGUCCAAUCCGUCUUCCGAAGAUUCCGUCAUGAACUUCUCGCUCGACUUGCAUGUGUUAGGCACGCCGCCAGCGUUCAUCCAGAGCCAGGAUCAAACUCU